RNAcentral lists this ribosomal RNA (431 nucleotides) under uncultured bacterium. Its description in RNAcentral is "partial 16S ribosomal RNA". It matches the Rfam family "Bacterial small subunit ribosomal RNA", at positions 29 to 507 of the family's 1533-position model. The record is from RNAcentral.
AACGAACGCUGGCGGCAGGCUUAACACAUGCAAGUCGAGCGCACCGCAAGGGGAUCGGCAGACGGGUGAGUAACGGGUGGGAACGUACCCAUUGGUGUGGAACAACUCCGGGAAACUGGAGCUAAUACCGGAUAAGGCCUAACGGGGGAAGAGUUAUCGCCCAAAGAUCGGCGCGCUUCAGAUUUGCUAGGUGGUGAGGUCACGGCACAGCAUAGCGACGUGGAGUAGCUGGUGUGAGAUGAUGAUCCUCCACACUGGGACUGAGACACGGCCCAGACCCUGACGCAAGGCAGGAGUGGAUAAUACUGGACACUGGGGGCAAGUGUGAUCCCGCCAUGCCGCGUGAGUGAUGCAUGCCGUAGUGUUGUAAAGCUGUUUUGUCCGGGAAGAGAAUGACGGUACCGGAUGAAUAAGCCCCGGCUAACUACGUG